UGGACCAGUGAUGACCACCAGUGGCAUCUGAGUCACGGACAAUGAGUAGUAUUCGAAGUCUGAGGUCCAG
This 70-nucleotide small nucleolar RNA is filed under the name Procavia capensis (Cape rock hyrax). Its description in RNAcentral is "Small nucleolar RNA SNORD113/SNORD114 family (ENSPCAG00000018973.1)". It matches the Rfam family "Small nucleolar RNA SNORD113/SNORD114 family". Rfam says of the family: The imprinted human domain at 14q32 contains two clusters of tandemly repeated small nucleolar RNAs named 14q(I) and 14q(II) snoRNAs. Lineage: Eukaryota; Metazoa; Chordata; Mammalia; Hyracoidea; Procaviidae. The record is from RNAcentral.